This 108-nucleotide ribosomal RNA is filed under the name uncultured bacterium. RNAcentral's name for it is "partial 16S ribosomal RNA". The record is from RNAcentral.
CGUUUACUAGCAACUCCAUCUUCAUGCAGGCGAGUUGCAGCCUGCAAUCUGAACUGAGACCAACUUUGAGGAUUGGCUCCACCUCCGCGGCUUAGCAACCUAUUGGUG